This 559-nucleotide ribosomal RNA is filed under the name uncultured bacterium. Its description in RNAcentral is "partial 16S ribosomal RNA". It matches the Rfam family "Bacterial small subunit ribosomal RNA", at positions 355 to 905 of the family's 1533-position model. The record is from RNAcentral.
UGGGGAAUUUUGGACAAUGGGCGCAAGCCUGAUCCAGCCAUGCCGCGUGCGGGAAGAAGGCCUUCGGGUUGUAAACCGCUUUUGUCAGGGAAGAAAUCUUCUGAGUUAAUACCUCGGGAGGAUGACGGUACCUGAAGAAUAAGCACCGGCUAACUACGUGCCAGCAGCCGCGGUAAUACGUAGGGUGCAAGCGUUAAUCGGAAUUACUGGGCGUAAAGCGUGCGCAGGCGGUUUUGUAAGACAGAGGUGAAAUCCCCGGGCUCAACCUGGGAACUGCCUUUGUGACUGCAAGGCUUGAGUGCGGCAGAGGGGGAUGGAAUUCCGCGUGUAGCAGUGAAAUGCGUAGAUAUGCGGAGGAACACCGAUGGCGAAGGCAAUCCCCUGGGCCUGCACUGACGCUCAUGCACGAAAGCGUGGGGAGCAAACAGGAUUAGAUAGCCCUGGUAGUCCACGCCCUAAACGAUGUCAACUGGUUGUUGGGGAAGGUUCCUUCUCAGUAACGUAGCUAACGCGUGAAGUUGACCGCCUGGGGAGUACGGCCGCAAGGUUGAAACUUAAA